This 489-nucleotide ribosomal RNA is filed under the name Bos taurus (domestic cattle). RNAcentral's name for it is "partial large subunit ribosomal RNA". It matches the Rfam family "Bacterial large subunit ribosomal RNA", at positions 1856 to 2569 of the family's 2925-position model. The record is from RNAcentral. Lineage: Eukaryota; Metazoa; Chordata; Mammalia; Artiodactyla; Bovidae.
UGCCUGCCCAGUGACAACUGUUUAACGGCCGCGGUAUCCUGACCGUGCAAAGGUAGCAUAAUCAUUUGUUCUCUAAAUAAGGACUUGUAUGAAUGGCCGCACGAGGGUUUUACUGUCUCUUACUUCCAAUCAGUGAAAUUGACCUUCCCGUGAAGAGGCGGGAAUGCACAAAUAAGACGAGAAGACCCUAUGGAGCUUUAACUAACCAACCCAAAGAGAAUAGAUUUAACCAUUAAGGAAUAACAACAAUCUCCAUGAGUUGGUAGUUUCGGUUGGGGUGACCUCGGAGAAUAAAAAAUCCUCCGAGCGAUUUUAAAGACUAGACCCACAAGUCAAAUCACUCUAUCGCUUAUUGAUCCAAAAACUUGAUCAACGGAACAAGUUACCCUAGGGAUAACAGCGCANUCCUAUUCAAGAGUCCAUAUCGACNAUAGGGUUUACGACCUCGAUGUUGGAUCAGGACAUCCUGAUGGUGCAACCGCUAUCAAA